UCCGCCGCCAGUCAGUCACCUUUUACCAGCAGAGAGGGAAGUAUCGUUUUGGGGGUUUUAGGAAAACAAAUCUGAAGACAGCGGCACAGAAUUGAAGCAGUACACCGAGCUCAGCGGGAGACGGUAACUAUCCACUGCAUCUGGAGGAAAGUCAACGUGCAGGGAAACAUUCACGGGUGCGCGGAAGUUUGUGUUUACUGAUGUAGUAGCUAGCUGGUUGGCCCUGUUAGCUUGUUAGCGAGGAAGGUGCGCGCUGCUCAGACUGCUGGACUUCAACAUUUACAACUAGCCCAACUUAACAGCCAAGUUAGACAACUGUCCUGUUUGUGGUUAUAACAUUUAAAAACGAUUUGGCAGAUGUUGCGGUGGCUUGUAGGUUUGGCAAACUCUUGUAACGUCAGUGCGGGCCACGAGCUUUGAAUCUUGUGGGGUCGUGUCACACACAGACAGCACUGACACAUAAAGAGAGAAAACGCAUAUAAAGCCACGAUCUUUAAAGUAAAGAUCACUGCAGUCAAACAUCCAAGCGUCCCUGUCUCUGCUGAUACGGAUGACCUAUAGGUUUGCAACAUUGGCGCUGCGACCCGUCCUCCUCUUCGGACCUAGUUCAUCGUCUUCGCCCGUGAUGGGCCCCCUGCUCAGCUAGUACGACGCGUGGAAACAAUCCGCAGCCCUCUAACCAUGGGAGGAUGUGUGGGGAGAUACUGGGAAGGCUGGGAGGACACACAGAGCCGAGGCUCGUCCAGGAACGGUGGACGAGGAGGACGUAACGAGCCUCUGAAGAAAGAGCGUCCCAAGUGGAAGAGCGACUAUCCGAUGACAGAGGGCCAGCUACGGAGCAAGCGGGACGAGUUCUGGGACACGGCGCCGGCCUUCGAGGGCCGUAAGGAGAUCUGGGACGCCUUGAAAGCUGCAGCCGUGGCCUUGGAGUGCAACGACCACGAGCUGGCCCAGGCAAUAGUGGAUGGAGCCAGUAUCACACUGCCACAUGGUACUCUUGCGGAGUGUUACGAUGAACUCGGGAACCGCUACCAGCUGCCCGUCUACUGCCUUGCUCCACCUGUCAACCUCAUCUCAGAGCGCAAUGACGACGACCCAGGCGAUAGCCCCGAACCUCCUGUAGCACCCAAGAAGGAGUUCCAGCUCAAGGUACGACUUUCCACAGGCACAGACCUGCGCCUCAGCGCCAGCAUGGCUGACACCAUAGGGCUACUAAAAAAGCAGCUGCAGGCCCAGGAGGACAUUGACGCCGCCCACCAGCGCUGGUUCUUCUCCGGGAAGCUGCUCACGGACAAGACGCGACUGCAGGACACUAAGAUCCAGAAGGACUUUGUCAUCCAGGUCAUUGUCAACCCGCAGGCCCUCCGAGGCCCCAAGCUGUCACCCACCAACACUGCCUCAUUGCCUGCAUCUGAAUAACGGAGGACACAGAGGACAGAUGGAGGGAUGGUGCAGUAGGUAGUGAGGUGGUUGGCAGACACUUCAGGACCAGAGGUGCCUCCCUAUUGCUGGAUAACUUAUACUUUUUAAGAAAAGUUAUUGUUAUUGAAAUAAAAUCAUACUGUGGAGGUACAAAACUACUUUGGAGCAAAAACACGAGGAAGAAACUCAAAAGUGCUGCUUUCUGUCAUCUGCCACGUGUCAUUAUAGUUUGGGGUUCUGCUGGGUUGUUCUUUAAGUGAAUCCAGUCACCACACUAAUGCUGGAGCUCCUCGUCCCCUUGUCUCUUUGAACCAUCUCGAAUUAAAAGCAGAACUCGUCAUGCUGGUGUGCAGCCAUUUCAACCACAUACAAAACAUGCACAUCACGCUGCACAUGCAGACUCCGCCUCUGCCCUUUUAUCUGCAUUAAUGCUAACUAAGUGCCAACAGAUGAACUGCAGAGGUGUUUGUGUUGGUUCUAAAGCACAUUUCCACUAUGACGCCCAUGGACUCUGCGCUGCAAUCCUUUCCUCCUCCACAGAAACAGGAGGGGAAGGCGGAGAGGGAGAUUCUGAACUUCUUUUUUCCUUCUUUCUUUUAUUGAGGAAAUAAUGUAAACAGAGCUUUUUUGCACAUUUGAAGAUUAUAACUAUACUUUUGUGGUAGUUUGUGUGCCUUCUACAAAAUGAAACAAAAAAGGGUUAAUGUCCGGAAAGACACUAGUGUUACCGCUAGGCAAAGCCUUCUGUAUUUUUUUAGAUUCAGGAACUCUUAGAUCAAUCCAAGCUAUAACUGCUGCCUUUUUUAAUGAUUUCAAGAAUAUUGCAAACAAAACAUUUAAUGUGUGAGUGCUGGCAGGUGUGUGCGUGUGCGUGUGUGUGAGCGUAUGUAUGUAUAGGUAUAUGCAUUUGGCCCAUAUGAUACAUUUCAGUACCACUUAGCUCAAAGACAAGACUGUUUCCCUGGUCGUAGCUUUUCAGUCAAUCAUAUCAAAUUGUGCAGGGAGGGCAAAAUUCCCCCACAAAAAAAUACGAUCUUAAAAGCUGCAUUAUUGACCACUUAAUGACCACCAGACCACUAGGGGGCAACAACACAGCCCUGAUGUAGUCAGUUCAGUUGCUUAGGGCUUGUUGUCCCUUUUCUCACCACAUGAUGAAAGUAAAAUCAGUAUUCAUUCAUCCUCAUCAACUUGAUGUGGUCCUCAAAGAAAAGUAUCUGUCACAUUUGUUCGCUCAGUGUUUGACUUUCUUCACCAGCAUAUAAACGGCUUGUGUGAGCCUGUUUGCCAGAAAUGCCUGCCUACAUGUUUUGGACAUAGUCUGUGUAAAGAAAGUGGACGUAGCUGCCGGGUCUGAAAAGCAAGCCAGUGUGGAAGUUCCUUAACCCUGCAUUUUUUCUAAUGGCCAGGAGGGGGUGACUCUACUGCUUGCAGAGAGAAGUAUAAUUGUAUAGAAGUCAAUGUGAAAACGACCCUACUUCUAACUUGAUUUAUUACCUCCGUAAACAUCUUCCCUAAGAGUUUAUGGUCACAGUCACUAGUUUCAAGUCUUCUUCAAUACAGUACGAUGUUCAUUUUGUAAAUAAUAUUCUCAUUUAAUUAAACAAGGUACGCUUACUAUCUUGUGAUUGACGGGUCACUACCAUGGCUAUCUGUCCAUCAAGAGAGGUGUAGCCAUGCGUAUCCAUCAGAUCCACUCUCUUGUCCAAAUAUGAUCACUUAUGGCUCCAAAAAAAAACAGCUAAAAUGCUAAACUCGGCUUCACAAUGGUCGUCCACAAACCAAUGGGUGACGUCCCAGUUGCUACUUCCACUUCUGUUACACUGUCUAUGUUUUUUUGUUUGGGAUUGGUGAGAACCAUCAGGAGUCUAUGUGGAGCGGUGAAUCAAAACAAUGAGCUGAGGGCCACAAAGAGCGUUAGCAUCAGGUGUUGAUUCUCAGUGGAACCGGCAGUGCUAACAACUCGCAUAGGAAGUUAUUUAUUUUAGUGUUUUAUUAAGAAAUAUCACAUAAAGGGACAGUCCACAGAUUUAGACAUGAUUUGAUUUGACAUUAAAAGCAGAUGUUGGACGAGUGACGGUCAUCAAUUUCAUAUAAUUUUUCAUUUCACUUAUGUUACCUCUCAGUUGACAGCAUCCUGUUAGCACCAUACACCUGCAUCAACGUUAGACUUUUUGUUGUGUCUGGAGGGCAAAGGGAGGGACACUGUUUUAAAUAUUUUGUGACUAUCAACUGUUUGUUUGCUUGAGCAGAAACGUUGCUUAAAUAAAAUAAAAGAUAAAUAUGUACCUCUUAAAAGUCAGGUAACACAGUCAGUGUUUGAAAAAGCCAUUUUAUCAGUACUUGCCUUUAACAUGUAUGUACAAGUACAGCCUCAGUGAUUCUGACUGGUCAUCAUUGUGCAGCAAAAGAUUAUUGUUUUGGAUUGUUCUUCCAGCUUUGUCACUAACCACAUUGGCUGCCGGAGAACAGAAACAAAUCAGCCACAGACAAAAUUGCCUUGAAUCAUAUACUGGCAGCUGAUGGCUGAAGCUCCCAUCAGGCCUGACAGUCUGAUUGGUAAAACACAUGUACACAAGGUGGCUACAUUCACACUGCAGCUCAACUUGCACAGCUGAGAUAUUCCCCCCUCACAUGUGACAUAUCAGAUUUUUGUCUGAGCGCUGUGAACAUCGAAAGCUGCAUUUAGUUUCUUGCUCCCAGAUCAUAUGGACAUGUAAGAAAUUAUAUCUGGCAGCAUGCAGACGUUUCUCUGAACUCUGAAUUCACCUUGAGCCUGAGACAUUUAUGAUAUGUUUGACUACACUGCAGCUUCUUUGAGCAGUGUGUUAGAACGUAAAGAAACAUGACCCAACCCAGGAAGCUGAUUGUUUUGCUGUUUCACAUUUCUAGUGUGUCAUUUUAAAGGUCCAGUGUGUAGGAUUGAGGGGCAACUAUUGGCAGAAAUGGUAUAUAAUCUUAUUAACUAUGUUUUCAUGAAUUUAUAAUAAUCUGAAACUAGUUAUCAUUCUGUUUUUGUUACCUUGGAAUGUGCGAUUUCUUUCUACAUAAGGAGCGGGUCCUCUUCCAUGGAGGCUGCCAUGUUAUUUCUACAGUUGCCCAGAACAGACAAACCAUUUAUGUUUUGAUGUUGGCCACCAUAGUUCUCCUACACGCUUGGCUCGUGGGCGACAUUUCAGUCGGUAGCAAUGUUGCAACCUAAAUACUAAAUGUCAUUAAAUCCUACACCCAAGACCUUUUAAGUUUUGAAAUAUCAAAGAUUUUAAGGGGUUCACAGAUCCAGAUAGAAAAUUCAAGUGUCCAGGGUUUUGAGUUGCUUAUCUGAACUUCUCUUUAUAGGAUCACAUUAUUAGGGCUGUGGAGCGAUUUUUUUUUUUUUUUUUUUUUUUUUUUAAAAAAAGGAUCUAAUUCAUUACAUGCUCUGUGAUUAAUCUAAAAUUGCAUUACAUCAUUUUUUGCUGUCAGAGUAUUUAAAAAAAAUGUCAGUUCAAUUUAAUUCCAACGGAUGUGUUGUGGUAAAGCUGCUGGAUUUUAGACACAAUUGUCUCCCUGUCCUCUACAACCAAAACUGGUUUGCAGUCCAUUGCAAUCCAUUUUGCAAGUUAGUCGGUCACAGGUAGACUUGCUGAGAUUGCGUGUGAACGCCUGGUCGAGUGUGGCUUGCCGAGGCUGACGGCUAGCGCUAGCAUCAGAGGCUAUGCUAGUUCAAACCUCCAGGUUCGCUGCUAAAUGCUUUGCUAAGAAGUGAUAUUUCAGGCUUUAAGUACUCCAAUGUUAAGAUAAUUCCUUACUGCAGAAAUUGCAGUGGUGCUCCUAUCAACAGUUCCAUCGGGGCGUUUUUUAAAUGUAAGUGUUCAUUCACGGGGCCAAGCAACGUUGUCUUGUCUGCCUCCAUCAUGUGACACCGCUACUGUGGCCUUCAAUGACGCACCAGAUCAAAGGGCAUCAUUUUUUCUGUGAUGAAUUAAAUUGAAAUUAACAAGUUAUUUUUGACAGCCCUGGUUAUUAUCACUGGAAGGAAGAAGUUCAUUUCGCAUCUUUAAUUUAGGUGCCUUAAUUUAUAACAACUUGAGAGACUUUACUUUUGGCUUAAUGACUGAAUUUGAGAGUUAUGUUUUUUGAAAUAUGGGACGCUUGGAAUUUCUAUCUAUUUGUGAACCUUUAAAAAAAACACAGACAACAAAAGUUCAAGUUUAUGAAAUUGCAAAACUAACACAAAUGUUGCCCACAAUACAUUUCAAAGAGAGAAAUUCAGCCCACAUGUAUCCUAUCCCAGAGACUAGAGAUGCAAAGAUACAAAAAUCUCGUCUUUGCAUGACUGUCGCUUCCAGGUCAUGUUCAGGUCAGAUUUGGGUUACAUCCCAGAAUAGAUAUUCAGGCACUUCAGGGCUGGGAAUCACGACCUGCUUUGUGAAUGUAUCCUGUAUUGUGCUCGUCAUGGUUGAACGCUCACAGUUAAGUAUUUGCUGUUUCUCCCUCCACACACCAAUCUGUAGCUGGAUGUGCCUUGUUUUCAUUCACCGCUCCUGCCACAAUAUUUUCAAGCAGUUUGAUCAUGGAGGGGAUAAAAUGAAACCAUCAGAGUGAAACCUAACUGAGCCACAGCUCACCACAUGAAGAAAACAUUUCAUAUUAUAUAAAAAUAUCAUUAUUUUGUGUCUUUUCUGUGCAGUUUCAGCCUUGACGCUGAUCACAAUCACUCUGUCUGUUACUUCCAGGCCUCAUUUUGCUGUUCUUGUACCAAUGGUUCUUCUGGGGGAUAUUUCGUAAUCAUUAUUUCAUACAGCACCAGCUAUGAGUAUUCAAGAAAUGUCAGUCAACAGGUCCAAGCCUGCUACAAUCUGACGCCUCGUGUCAGACAAUCAGCUGUUUCCAUGUUUGUCACUUUGAAAUGUAUUCGUCUUCUGAUGGCCUCUCAUCUUUCACAGAGUAAAUAUCUAAAUAUUAAAAAUGCCUACACAA
Non-coding RNA from Epinephelus lanceolatus (giant grouper), 6381 nucleotides. The record is from RefSeq and is a predicted model, not a curated record. Lineage: Eukaryota; Metazoa; Chordata; Actinopteri; Perciformes; Serranidae.